Molecule: transfer RNA, 65 nt
Filed under: Branchipolynoe sp. YZ-2018
Lineage: Eukaryota; Metazoa; Annelida; Polychaeta; Phyllodocida; Polynoidae
Description: tRNA-Asp
Source: RNAcentral
GAGAUCUUAGUUAAAAUAUAUAACAUAAACUUGUCAAGUCUAAAUCACUAAAUUAGUAAAUCUCU